GACGAACGCUGGCGGCGCGCCUAACACAUGCAAGUCGAACGAGAGAUGAGGAGCUUGCUCUUCAAAUCGAGUGGCGAACGGGUGAGUAACGCGUGAGGAACCUGCCUCAAAGAGGGGGACAACAGUUGGAAACGACUGCUAAUACCGCAUAAGCCCACAGCUCGGCAUCGAGCAGAGGGAAAAGGAGCAAUCCGCUUUGAGAUGGCCUCGCGUCCGAUUAGCUAGUUGGUGAGGUAACGGCCCACCAAGGCGACGAUCGGUAGCCGGACUGAGAGGUUGAACGGCCACAUUGGAACUGAGAAACGGUCCAGACUCCUACGGGAGGCAGCAGUGGGGAAUAUUGCACAAUGGGGGAAACCCUGAUGCAGCAACGCCGCGUGAAGGAAGACGGUUUUCGGAUUGUAAACUUCUGUUCUUAGUGAAGAAUAAUGACGGUAGCUAAGGAGCAAGCCACGGCUAACUACGUG
RNAcentral lists this ribosomal RNA (467 nucleotides) under uncultured bacterium. RNAcentral's name for it is "bacterial SSU rRNA". It matches the Rfam family "Bacterial small subunit ribosomal RNA", at positions 28 to 507 of the family's 1533-position model. The record is from RNAcentral.